GAUGAACGCUAGCGGCAGGCCUAACACAUGCAAGUCGAGGGGUAACGGGAAAAGCUUGCUUUUCGCCGACGACCGGCGCACGGGUGCGUAACGCGUAUACAAUCUACCCUUUGCUGUGGGAUAGCCCAGGGAAACUUGGAUUAAUACCGCAUAGUAUAUAGUAGUGGCAUCACUACUAUAUUAAAGGUUACGGCAAAAGAUGAGUAUGCGUUCUAUUAGCUAGAUGGUGUGGUAACGGCACACCAUGGCAACGAUAGAUAGGGGCCCUGAGAGGGGGAUCCCCCACACUGGUACUGAGACACGGACCAGACUCCUACGGGAGGCAGCAGUGAGGAAUAUUGGGCAAUGGAGGCAACUCUGACCCAGCCAUGCCGCGUGCAGGAAGACUGCCCUAUGGGUUGUAAACUGCUUUUAUACAGGAAGAAACAUCUCGACGUGUCGGGACUUGACGGUACUGUAAGAAUAAGGAUCGGCUAACUCCGUGCCAGCAGCCG
This 494-nucleotide ribosomal RNA is filed under the name uncultured bacterium. Its description in RNAcentral is "bacterial SSU rRNA". It matches the Rfam family "Bacterial small subunit ribosomal RNA", at positions 28 to 517 of the family's 1533-position model. The record is from RNAcentral.